This is a long non-coding RNA of Centruroides sculpturatus (bark scorpion), 443 nucleotides long. RefSeq lists it as uncharacterized. NCBI's taxonomy places the organism in Eukaryota, Metazoa, Arthropoda, Arachnida, Scorpiones, Buthidae. The record is from RefSeq and is a predicted model, not a curated record. The transcript is spliced from 3 exons.
CUUCUCCUUCAGUUUACUAUAAAAAGGAGACUGAUUAUUCUCAAAAACUUAUUCUUGUUAAUUUCAAACAAGUGUAACAACCUUUAACAUCAUGAAAGCUUUGGUAUCCCUUUUGCUUUUUGCUUUUAUCGUUGCUACUCUUGGAGCUACUAUAGGCGUACAUCCAUUUACUGGAUACGGCCACGGUAUCUAUGCAGGAUAUGGAUAUCCUUACGGAAACGACCAAUCUCCCUAUAAUUCCAAAAUUUACGGUGGACAUUAUGGAUACACUCCCGGAAUUUAUGGCGAUUAUUUAAAAAACUCUAAAAUCUACGGCGGUUAUUAUGGCUAUCCCAAAGUUUAUGAUUAUUAAUAACAGACUGAUAACUUUUAAUGAAAUAAUAUUUCUUCGAUCCAAUCAAAAGUCGAUGUAGGCCUACAAAUUAUUUUCUUCUUUUUUUGUA